GACGAACGCUGGCGGCGUGCUUAACACAUGCAAGUCGAACGGAAAGGCCCUGCGUUUGUGGGGUGCUCGAGUGGCGAACGGGUGAGUAAGACGUGAGUAACGUGCCCUUGACUUUGGGAUAACUUCAGGAAACUGGGGCUAAUAUCGGAUAGGAGCUCCCGCUGCAUGGAGGGGGUGGGAAAGUUUCGGCGGGUGGGGAUGGACUCGCGGCUUAUCAGCUUGUUGGUGGGGGAGUGGCUUACCAAGGCUUUGACGGGUAGCCGGCCUGAGAGGGUGACCGGCCACCAUGCGCCUGCGAUACGGCCCAGUCUCCUACGGGGGGCAGCAGUGGGGAGUAUUGCACAGUGGGCGGACGCCUGAUGCGGCAGCGCCGCGUGCGGGAUGACGGCCUUCGGGUUGAAAACCGCUUUCGCCUGUGACGAAGCGUGAGUGACGGUAAUGGGUGAAGAAGCACCGGCUAACUACGUG
RNAcentral lists this ribosomal RNA (468 nucleotides) under uncultured bacterium. RNAcentral's name for it is "partial 16S ribosomal RNA". It matches the Rfam family "Bacterial small subunit ribosomal RNA", at positions 28 to 507 of the family's 1533-position model. The record is from RNAcentral.